This 1916-nucleotide ribosomal RNA is filed under the name human oral metagenome. RNAcentral describes it as "bacterial LSU rRNA". It matches the Rfam family "Bacterial large subunit ribosomal RNA", at positions 3 to 1973 of the family's 2925-position model. The record is from RNAcentral.
UCAAGUGAAUAAGAGCAUGUGGUGGAUGCCUUGGCGAUGAUAGGCGAAGAAGGACGUGAUAGCCUGCGAUAAGCUCCGGUGAGUUGGCAAAUGAACUUUGACCCGGAGAUUUCCGAAUGGGGAAACCCACCCGAACAGGGUAUUUGCUUUUGAAUACAUAGAAAGCAAAGGCGAACCAAGCGAACUGAAACAUCUAAGUAGCUUGAGGAAAAGACAUCAACCGAGAUUCCGAAAGUAGUGGCGAGCGAAAUUGGAUCAGCCUUCCAGUGAUAGCGCAAUCGUUAGCAAAACGAGGUGGAAAACUCGGCCGUAGCAGGUGAUAGCCCUGUAUGCGAAAGCGAAUGUGUGGUACUAGACUGGUAACAAGUAGGGCGGGACACGUGUAAUCCUGUCUGAAUAUGGGGGGACCAUCCUCCAAGGCUAAAUACUCAUCAUCGACCGAUAGUGAACAAGUACCGUGAGGGAAAGGCGAAAAGAACCCCGGGAGGGGAGUGAAAUAGAUUCUGAAACCGCAUGCUUACAAAAAGUCGGAGCCCUUUUGGGUGACGGCGUACCUUUUGUAUAAUGGGUCAGCGACUUACAUUCAGUGGCGAGGUUAACCGAGUAGGGGAGCCGCAGAGAAAUCGAGUCCGAACAGGGCGUUUGAGUCGCUGGGUGUAGACCCGAAACCAGGUGAUCUAUCCAUGACCAGGAUGAAGGUGCCGUAACAGGUACUGGAGGUCCGAACCGACUGGUGUUGCAAAACCAGCGGAUGAGUUGUGGAUAGGGGUGAAAGGCUAAACAAACCUGGAAAUAGCUGGUUCUCUCCGAAAACUAUUUAGGUAGUGCCUCACGUAUUGCCUUUGGGGGUAGAGCACUGUUUUGGCUAGGGGGUCAUGGCGACUUACCAAACCAAGGCAAACUCCGAAUACCAAAGAGCAGAGCGUGGGAGACAGUGCACCGGGUGCUAACGUCCGGACACGAGAGGGAAACAACCCAGACCGCCAGCUAAGGUCCCUAAAAUUGGCUAAGUGGGAAACGAAGUGAGAAGGCUAAAACAGUCAGGAUGUUGGCUUAGAAGCAGCCACCAUUUAAAGAAAGCGUAAUAGCUCACUGAUCGAGUCGUCUUGCGCGGAAGAUGUAACGGGGCUCAAGCCAGUUACCGAAGCUGCGGAUGCACAGCAAUGUGCGUGGUAGGAGAGCGUUCUGUAAGUCUGUGAAGGCGGUCUGAGAAGGCUGCUGGAGAUAUCAGAAGUGCGAAUGCUGACAUGAGUAGCGUUAAAGCGGGUGAAAAGCCUGCUCGCCGUAAGCGCAAGGUUUUCUAUGCAACGUUCAUCGGCGUAGAGUAAGUCGGCCCCUAAGGUAAGGCAGAGAUGCGUAGCUGAUGGGAAACAGGUUAAUAUUCCUGUACCGAUGUGCAGUGCGAUGUGGGGACGGAUCUUAAUAGGUUGUCCGGGUUUUGGAUAUCCCGGUUUAGAUGGAAGUAGGUGUGCAUCAGGCAAAUCCGGUGCAUAUGUGCCCAGGCCAUCGAUCGAGCAAGCUUGCUUGCGAAGCAACUGAACGAGGUUCCAGGAAAAGCCACUAAGCUUCAGCUGCACACGACCGUACCGCAAACCGACACUGGUGCGCGAGAUGAGUAUUCUAAGGCGCUUGAGAGAACUCAGGAGAAGGAACUCGGCAAAUUGACACCGUAACUUCGGGAGAAGGUGUGCCCUAGUAGUGUGAUGAGAGCAUCUGAGCAUGAAUGGGUUGCAAAAAAUAGGUGGCUGCGACUGUUUAUUAAAAACACAGCACUCUGCAAACACGAAAGUGGACGUAUAGGGUGUGACGCCUGCCCGGUGCUGGAAGAUUAAGUGAUGGGGUGCAAGCUCUUGAUCGAAGUCCCAGUAAACGGCGGCCGUAACUAUAACGGUCCUAAGGUAGCGAAAUUCCUUGUC